Molecule: ribosomal RNA, 41 nt
Filed under: Philornis torquans
Lineage: Eukaryota; Metazoa; Arthropoda; Insecta; Diptera; Muscidae
Description: partial 5.8S ribosomal RNA
Source: RNAcentral
UUUUAGAGUGCUGCUUGGACUACAUAUGGUUGAGGGUUGUA